AUGACCUUUGAGGCUCCUCGGGGCCCCUACACUAUGGAGGUUGAGAAAGGACGAAAUAUGACGCAGGUGGGAGGAGAUGGAUGGGUCCGUUUCAUCGCCCACAUGCGUAUCACCGGUGGUGAGUUGAUCAACUUCUGCUUCAGAGCAGAAAGACCCAAGCUAGCCGUGAUUUAUGUCAACAAAGUAGAAGAUGAUGAGGAUGAUGAGGAUGACGAUGACCCACUUGGUGAAGCCAUCGUAGCUCAAAUAAUGAGGUUGAGCGAGGAGGAGGUGUGCAACCUAUGGGACAUCAUUCCGCCACGUGCUGACUUUGUCGGGGUGCCAUUCGUUACCCGCCUGACAAGUACCAUGGUUGAUCGGCAUAUCAUGGUAUGUUGCAUUUACUGUAGUAAUUUGAUGAUAUGCUUUAUUGUUAUACUUAGUGUAGAGUCCGAUGAUAUAUAUGCUUAG
Molecule: ribosomal RNA, 450 nt
Filed under: Triticum aestivum (bread wheat)
Lineage: Eukaryota; Viridiplantae; Streptophyta; Magnoliopsida; Poales; Poaceae
Description: partial small subunit ribosomal RNA
Source: RNAcentral